AUGAGCAGACCUGAUGGAUGCGUACAAAUUGCAGAAGAACACAUACUUGACUCAGUUGUACGAAGUCGGAAGAAGUGGGAAGAGCCUUCAAAGACGACCCCGGUAAUGAAGAUGAAUACCCCACUGGAGCUGCAUGCAAGCAAUGUUCUGUAUGAGGCAGGCCAAUACAAGGUUGAUGAGGUCGAGAAAGGUGUGAAGUAUUUGGCUCGGAGAUACCACCGAAAGAAGCACGAAAAGUGGGGCAGAGUGAAAGAUAAGCUAUCUAACAACUCCGUAACAUCCAAACUUGUAACAUACACCCUGGAGGUUGUGCAGCUCGGCGAUGCAAAAACAACAACACAUGAACUAGUAAUCAGUUUGCUGAAAUUGGCAAUGCAGAAACUGAUCCCAUUAGCUGAUGUCCGAGAUGGGCUUGGAUUGGAGGGUCCGCCUUCAAGCAAGCCAGGCAGCAAGGAAAGGAAAGAGCAAUGGACAAGAACUGUCCGGCCAGACCCCUUGCUGGGCGGUACCAGCAAGCGCACCCAAUUUUGCAUAUCUUCCGGCAACUAG
RNAcentral lists this ribosomal RNA (549 nucleotides) under Triticum aestivum (bread wheat). RNAcentral's name for it is "partial small subunit ribosomal RNA". Lineage: Eukaryota; Viridiplantae; Streptophyta; Magnoliopsida; Poales; Poaceae. The record is from RNAcentral.